GGUGGACACAAAACACCUGCGUUCAAGUGGAUCAGACUGUUUAAAACGACAUAAACAGAUAUAAUGCGAUCCAGCGCAGAGUCCAGGAAACACUGUCUUAGCGCCGCUCUGUUACUGUGCGGGGUGGAGGCAGCUGUUGUUGGCACGGUGACUGUAAACAUGCGUCAGUUGUCAAACACGUGCCAUAAAAGCCUCAAUGUUUCAUAAGCAGCUCCCUUAAAAGAGAAGUGGCUCCGCAACAGCAGGCUCUGUGUUUACUGCUCUCUUCAAGGACACAUAAUACACGGUAUGUCUGUCUUUAUUCAUGCUGAUCAACAUUAUACUGACAUAAAACUUGAUCUAUAAUCCUUCUCUGUUUACACUUUAGAAGGUGACUCAUCCACAAUGGCAAAACACAGCGUUAGCCUUGUGCUUGCCAUAGUGCUGGCAUCAACCCUCUUCAUCCUCACUAUGGUGCUCUCUGCUCUGGCAGCACCGGGAAUACACCCUUUUUUGUCGAGCACCCGUAACAUUUCAGAUGAGUUUGUGACUCAGAUCACACCUUCAGGAUGGAC
This is a long non-coding RNA of Parambassis ranga (Indian glassy fish), 554 nucleotides long. The record is from Ensembl. NCBI's taxonomy places the organism in Eukaryota, Metazoa, Chordata, Actinopteri, Ambassidae.